UAGGAGCGGUCGCCUAUUUCCCCUCCGAGAGAAGCGCCUGCGCGCCGUUUCCCGCCCGCCAGAGCACGCCCCGGCGUCCGGGCGCGGCCGCCACGGCAGCCCGCGCUCAGACCGACGGCUAGGCGCGCCGCCGCGCUGAGCUCCGUCUCCCCGUCCGUCAAGGGGGGAUAACGCAGUCGACCCGGAGACACGGCGACGGGCGCCCAGUAAACGCUCGGCGCAGCUCUCCAGUGACGCGACCGAGGAAAACAAGCGACACCGGCCUCUGGACUUCGCUCCCCGCCAGUGAACCCCCCAGCCCUACGCAGGGACAGGAAGCACUAAUGUGCUCAAGAUCAGCAUGAGUUUGUGCUGUGCACCCUGAUCUGGAAUGUGUCACGGGGGGCAAUGGAGAAGAAUAGGAUACUUACAUCGAGCGACCACACUGACGUUUUACACCCGUUAACAGUCCUGUGCUCUGUUCAGUAUUUUGAGGCCCAGGAGGGCGAGGAGCGACUUGGGAACGUGCGGGGGCAGCGCCAGCAGGGGGCGGCGGGGAGCAGAGCCGCCGGCAGAAACCCGAGGAUAAGACCGAAACCACGGGUCACGGCCGGAAAGACGAAGCUGAACUCGCUUUGAAGGUCUCCUGCAUUACUGAAAAAGAGAGAAGAGGAGAGAUUUGAAGAAGUGUUUCUGAUGGUGAAUUCUGUUAGGACUUUAAAAAAUGGCUUUAAUUAGUUUAAAGACUCCAUAUGGUUUGGUGCCAUUUACAUGAAAUAUCCUCAAGGGACAAAUCUGCAGACAGCGCAGGUGGUCGCCUAGGGCUGGGACCUGGGGCUGGGAUGGAGGUUUGGGGGAUGCAGAGGGGAGGAGGGGUUCUGUGGCGUAGGAACCAUCCUAAAGUCAUGGAGGUAAGUUCAGAACUCUGUGAAAUACUAACAGCCGUUGAACUGUACCCUGUAAAUGAAAGAACUAUAUGGUGUAAGAAUUGUGUCUCGACAAAACUGUUGCUUUAAACUUACGGCACUUUAGAAAUCUUAAUGUGGAGAUCUCCAAAUUUAUUUCUAACGAGUAUUAAUGUGUUUCUGGAUAAUAAAUGAUAAUAUGCCCUAGUGACUGAAAUUUCUGUCAGCAGUUUCAUUUCCAGCAGAUACAGAUUAAUUUCUAUCAUUUCAGGUGAACCCAGGCAGUUUCUCAGGAGCCCCGGGAGAGAGCAGGUCUGCGGGCAGAGCUCCCUGGUGGUCCUUUGCUCCCCUCCGGGGCCCCCCUUUCCCCUCUGUGGACUGACUGAGGCCUUUGCCCCUCAGCUGUGGUUUUAACUCUGCCAUCACAGCACUUGCUCUUCUCUCUGCUCACUUGUGACUGAGUGGAAACUGAGAAGACCUUCCGUUCAUUUCCAGCAACUUCUGUACAACCUUUGCACAUUUGAGUGAGGGGGGAGAAACGAUUUUAUUGUCGAACAUUUGCUAAGUCUGCUUUGGAAGCAGAUGUUUGAACCUUUUGUGAAAUUGCUAGGGUUUGGACGUCUGAAUAAAACAUUACUUAUAUUUUAAAGUUUUAAUAAAAUUAGUUUUUUAUUAAAAAUAUUUAAUUAAAAUUGUAAGAAUUUCCAAAAUUGGGAUUUUAUGUGUAAUAAAUGAUAGAGCAGGCAGUCAGAUUCAUAUAUAUUUAAUAAAUAUAUGUCUAACUAUACCUCCUGACUUUUUAACUCAGCAUUUUUAAACUUAGAAAAGUGGGGAUAUGUGUUUUUCAGACAUAGGACCAUUUCUGGAGAAAUGU
This is a long non-coding RNA of Balaenoptera acutorostrata (minke whale), 1758 nucleotides long. RefSeq lists it as uncharacterized. The transcript is spliced from 3 exons. Lineage: Eukaryota; Metazoa; Chordata; Mammalia; Artiodactyla; Balaenopteridae. The record is from RefSeq and is a predicted model, not a curated record.